AGGUUGGACUAGGUAAUCUUGGAGGUCUCUUCCAACCUAGAUAAUUCUGUGAUUCUCUGAUUUCAAAUGGAGCAUCUCAUACCUGUAACACAAGUCUACCUCGACUACCUUUGUACUGAAUUAAACACAAGUUUUGAGUAUUUUUGAAUAUUCAUCAACAAAGCUUUAAGUAGUAGGAUCUUAGCUAUCUUGCAGAUAUCCACUGGAAAAUGAACAAGCUCCUCUGAGCACUCCAUAGAAGUGUAAAUAGGCUGGCAAAUUCUGGGCUUUAAAAAAUAUAGGACUUGAGCUGAUAAAACUUGUUCCCCUCAGAAGUUCAGAGGCUAGAUCUGUCAUUAAGGUUUAUCAGUUUUUUCAGGGUUUUUCCCCAAGGAUCUAAAAGAUUCUAUUUACAGUGAAUAGAGCUUUUGGAGAGUAACAGAGAAAGCCAAGAAUUAUUUCUUCAGUAUCAAUCUAGCAAAAUUAUACGUUAUAACAUUUGAACACAGUACCUAGGAUUAUGGAUGAGCAUAUAGUCAACAGAAGAAAUACAGCAUGGAAUUGCAGAAAAAAAAAUUAGAGAGGUGACUACAGCACAUUCUUAGGACAGGAUUAAACACUCCUUUGCAAAUAAGAAAUCUGGUGUAACAGCUAGACAGGUCUUACUCCAUGAGAAGAGUCAACAAGAAAAACAUAAAGGAGACUAAACUUCAUGACUGAGAAAUUAAGAGGAAGGCAUAUGGGGAGAAUAUUUGCUCUGAAUCUACUUUAGCAAUAGUUAAUUGAGAAAUGAGUAUUGUGCCAUUCUUCAUUAGUUCCAGCUUCACCCUUUCCUUUCUGCUGUUUGCCACUAUUACCUGUUAUUGUUACUGCAACCAAGUAGGUUCGCAUAGCCAUCAGAAAGUCCAUUCCCGUUGUAGGGAUCUGACACGGGAACACCCAUGUUUACCCCUACCAGGGCCAACAUAGUUACAAGAGCUUUUUUUUUUGUUCUUCCUUUCACGUGAAAUAUUUUCAUACAUGUGGCAACCACAUACAUAUGUAUAAAAAUAGAUGUAGAUAUGUGAAUACGACAAAUUGAAUAUCCAUGACACAGUAACGCUACUUUAUAUAAAAAGGUGGAAAACCUAGUUAGCUAACAGCAGCCACAAAACCAUGUGUGUAAUAGCUUUAAGACAAAAAUGUCAACUAACCAGACAUUCAUACAUUCUCAACAACAGUAAUGCCAACACAGCCCCUUCUUUAUGGGUUUGUGUGAGCAGCUUUUGUAAGCGCCUGUGUGAGCAGAAAUUACAAUAGCAACUAGAAUAGAGAAGGCCAAAGAGAGAAGCAUGUGCUGAGAGGCAGCAUGUGAAAGUCUCCCAAGAACUGUUAAGUUCCAGUGAAAAAGGGCCCUUUUGAAUUUGCAACAAUGCAAAAACUCUGAACAGCAGCUGAAUAUGUACAUAGUCACCAGUGUGCAUACACGCAAUCAACACGCUGUAUCAUUCCAAUAGCAUCCAAGAACACGGUGGCUGCUAUGUGCAAGCCAAGACUACAAGAAUAUAUACAGACUUGAUGAAAGAAGGGACCCACUUAAGGACUUUCCAAAUACCUACCUAGAACUGUCAUGUCAGCACAACCUCCCACCUCUGAGCAAACAGCUGGGAUUGGCCUUUCAACUUUUGCUUCAACCAGGUUUACUGGAUGACCAGUGUGGGUUAAAGAAAUAAUUGUGCUGGGCAAAGCUAACUAAAGAAUUGAACAAAGAAAACCGACCACAAGCCCUACUCCACCUGCUGGAGACAAGCAAUUCAAGUCUGAAAACCACUAAGCAAGUCCCUUACAGUGCUGGAUGGUUAACAAAGCUUUUCUUCCGACCAUGUCCAGCGACCAGAGGGAGCUAUUCUCAAGUGCCUAGUCUAGCAUAGCAGAGCACUUUGGUGAGCUAGCAGGUUCUAGUUACAAACAUAAUGCUUACAUGAAGGCUUUAAUAAAAACAAAAAUGUAUUUAAAGUUUUGCAUUUUUCUUCUCAUAUUGUGAAAACAGCAGUGAUUACUCUGAAGUGUGUGGAACACACUAAAAAGAAGCGUGAUAUUGCACCCAAGACUGUACUGGCUCCUAAGAUGGCCAUACCACUGAGCUGGAAUCAGAAGAACUUUGGUAUUUUGCUGAUUACUGC
Anas platyrhynchos (mallard) is the source of this 2141-nucleotide long non-coding RNA. RefSeq lists it as uncharacterized. The record is from RefSeq and is a predicted model, not a curated record. Lineage: Eukaryota; Metazoa; Chordata; Aves; Anseriformes; Anatidae.